CAGCGCAAACGGAAAUGGCGCUCUGCCUCACGAAGACAAACAACCUGGAGGGGGCGAUGAAUGCAGGAAGGAGCCAAGUGAAUAGUGGAGAGAAACACAUAUUAUUACACAAUUUCUUCUACGGUGACUCCAGUCCGCCUUGCAUUACUACUGCUCUGCAGGUGCUCCUCCACAGACUCCAACCGCAUUGACACACGCAGCAGACAGGCCUCUCUGCGCAGGACCACCUCCUCUCUCCUCCUCAGCUCCUCCUCCAGCUCCUGCAGCUCUGCUCUCUUCUGAAGCACCCGCUCCUCCUCCUGCUCCAGCCAGCUGCUGUCACACAGCUACAGGGAGG
Molecule: long non-coding RNA, 337 nt
Organism: Lates calcarifer (barramundi perch)
Lineage: Eukaryota; Metazoa; Chordata; Actinopteri; Centropomidae
Exons: 3
Source: RefSeq, a predicted model, not a curated record